RNAcentral lists this microRNA (22 nucleotides) under Mus musculus (house mouse). Its description in RNAcentral is "mmu-miR-7227-3p". The record is from miRBase by way of RNAcentral. Lineage: Eukaryota; Metazoa; Chordata; Mammalia; Rodentia; Muridae.
UCUGAAAAGGGUCAUCGGCAGA